RNAcentral lists this transfer RNA (84 nucleotides) under Felis catus (domestic cat). It matches the Rfam family "tRNA". From Rfam's summary of the family: Transfer RNA (tRNA) molecules are approximately 80 nucleotides in length. Their secondary structure includes four short double-helical elements and three loops (D, anti-codon, and T loops). Further hydrogen bonds mediate the characteristic L-shaped molecular structure. tRNAs have two regions of fundamental functional importance: the anti-codon, which is responsible for specific mRNA codon recognition, and the 3' end, to which the tRNAs corresponding amino acid is attached (by aminoacyl-tRNA synthetases). tRNAs cope with the degeneracy of the genetic code in two manners: having more than one tRNA (with a specific anti-codon) for a particular amino acid; and 'wobble' base-pairing, i.e. permitting non-standard base-pairing at the 3rd anti-codon position. The record is from Rfam by way of RNAcentral. Lineage: Eukaryota; Metazoa; Chordata; Mammalia; Carnivora; Felidae.
GCCGGGGUGGCUCAGUUGGUUAAGCUUCUGACUUUGGCUCAGGUCAUGAUCUCACCCGUGUGGGUUCAAGCCCUGCCUUGGGCU